RNAcentral lists this long non-coding RNA (7769 nucleotides) under Lactuca sativa (garden lettuce). RNAcentral describes it as "long non-coding RNA (LSAT_LNC008804)". Lineage: Eukaryota; Viridiplantae; Streptophyta; Magnoliopsida; Asterales; Asteraceae. The record is from RNAcentral.
AGUGAAUGUAAAUGGGAAAACGAAAUAGUACUAUGGUGUAGUGUCGAACUACAACCGUACCAAUUUCCUUAAGUCUAGGGUAAUCGUGUAAGUACUGUAGUAUUUGUAAUAAAUAACUACAUCGGUACUCCGCUGCCUUAUUUGAGGGAUAAGGUAUAAUGUGAUGUCUAGAUCCCAGGCUGUACGCUCCCCUAUCAAAGGGAUUUUGGGACCUACCCACGACCCCUGCAUAUCUGCAAGCUGUGAGCAUCCACAUUACUAUGAUCAUGUAUACUCGAUAUAACUAUCACAAUUUCGUUGUGAUUCAUCAGUAUAGUUAGAUCCUGAACUGGGUCCAUGCUAUAGCACCUAGUGACAUCUGUUCUAUGUAUAUGUAAGUGUACUCGUGUAAGUGUGAUCAUGUAAUUGUACUCAUGUAAACGUGACAACGUAAACUUAUCUAUGUAAUAGUAUAGUAAUGUACUGUAAUGUUCUAGCUGUAGUGUACGUGCUCUCUAUCUAGCAAGUAUAGUAAUGUACUGUAAUGUUCUAGCAGUAGUGUACGUGCUCUCUAUCUAGCAAGUAUAGUAAUGUACUGUAAUGUUCUAGCAAGUAUUGACUCAUGAAUGAACUGACUCAUUGUAUGGUAUCGCAUUCUAGUAAUAGUUCUAGUAUCUUCCUAAACUACCCAUAUGGUAGUUUACUAGUAAUCUAACUGGUACGUAUGGACAUGGAUGUAUACCCUUGCUACCCAAGGGCAUGGGAUGAACUGGAAGGGCCUUUAUGACUAUAUAUGUACAUAUGUUAUAUAACUAAUAUUUAAACGACCUUCGGACGAGUACCCGAUAUCCCACCAGACCACAUCUCAAGCGCGAAAAGGAAAUAGGGUGGAUAGCCUUCCUAAGUCUUUUAAACAUUUCUUAUAUAACUAUACAUAUAGAGGCAUGCAAUUUAUAAUAUAAAAGCAUAAAUAAGUUUUGUAAAACCUUUGAACAUAAUUAUUAUCUUAAGAAAAGAUCGACUUGAUGUCAAUCUAUAAAACGGUUUUGAAGGCAUGGGUUUGAUAAAACGGUUUAGUAUAAAGAAACAUUUGUUUGAAACACAAUUGUAAAUAAGUUUGAAAAGUAAUAUACAGAGUAAAAUGUACAGAGAAAUAAGGAGUUUUAAACACAUAAAGUGUUUAUGAAAGACAUUUGAAGGAAACUGUUUAGUAAAACGGCUAAUGAGUAGCCAAUCAUUUGAAUGCUGCUUAUUAAUCACAUGUGAUUGAUAUAAUAAUUAGCAUAAUUCUACUUGUAUCCCCCCCCAUAAAACAUUUAAAAACAGUUUAAAACAUUGAUUAAGGGGUAUGAACUCACCUGUAGUGAGUGGUUCUGAUGAAAAUGUUGGAUCAGUUGCUAAGUGUCAAGUGGUGACUUGAGUACACACGCGAAUCCUAUUUAGCAUAUAUUGGCACAUAUAUGGAUAUAAUUAGUGUUAUGAACAACUAAUUGAUGAUUUUGGGACCACCUUAGGGACUAGUAAACACUUAUAAUGAAGUGUUACAAUCAUAUAUGAUUGUAUGAGGGUUUAUAAGGCUAUACAAGAGGGUGUAUGGCCAAAAUACACACUAUAUGUGUGUGUGCGGCCAGGUGUGCGGCCUAGUGUGCUGCCAGCACAUGUGUGCGGCCCUGUGUGCGGCCAUGUGUGCUGCCAGAUGGUGUGUGCUGCCAUGUGUGCGGCCAGAUGGUGUUCUUGGUGUUCUUGGUACCUUUUAUGAAGAUCUUCAAGGAGAAUGGAUGAUACUUGAGAGGAUUUUCGAGUUCUAUGCUUGAAGAAGUGAAAGAAGUGUUCAAAAAUGACUAAGUGUGGUACAUAUAGGUGGAGUGUGCGGUUGGGAAGGGUGUGAGGCCGCAAACACAUGUGUGUGGCCGCACACUCAAGUGUGUGGCCGCACACUCCAUGUGUUGGAGUGUUUGGCCUCUUUUUGAUUCCUACACUUUGAGUUAACCCAUUUCCACACUCCAACCUUGAUUAUAACACAUUUAGAACGCUCCAAUAGACCCUAAAUGGUACUACAACAUAGCAAAACGAGUCUAUUAUUGAUAAGAAAUGAAGAAUGCAAGCUAGAAAUUUUUGGGUUGUCACAUCAUCCCCCCGUUAGAGGGAAUUUCGUCCCGAAAUUAGAAUUUAGACUAGGAAGUAGGUACGAAUGAUCGAGUCAUGAGGAGGAACUUUCUAAUCGAUUUGUUCUAGCGCUCCUAAGUGAAAUCGGGUUCUCGGUUGGUAUCCCAACGAACCUGCACUAAUGGGCGGUGGCGAUGCUUCGUCCGCUUGACCUCUCGGUCGAGGGUCACUACGGUUCAAAUACGACGGCGUGGAUCUCGACGAGUGGACUUACAAGAGUCCUAAUGGAAAGGUAAGGUUUCACGAUCGAGACGCAGAGGGUAGAAUGUACGCUACUGAGUUCACGGAGUAGGUCUAGUUUGUGCGAGGUACAAGACCAAUUCUGACAAGAGUCUCGGAGGUCCUAACUAUAUUGGAUUUAGCUUGCCACGUGAUACGAAGCGUAUUAAGCCAUUCCCAGAGUGAGUUCUCCUAAAGAAUUUGGUCACUCACUUGGAAUCUCCAAGGUUUCUUUUUCUUGUUUAACUUCCCAGUCAAGGGCCACCCCUUGAUGGGUCAGAGUCGAAAGGGUUUCUGUGAUUUACGAGGAGUUCUGGAUGAACUAUGACAGUAGGUCUGUAAGACCUAGAAUUUUGCGAAUUUAUUUCAGCAUCUCUGGUGUCGACAAAUGCUCAAUAGUUUUGACAAAUUGAAAAAGUACUCAAAAUUUCCCACAUUACUAACAGUGUCAUAGAAAUUUGACUCUUCAAUUUCAAAACUCGUGCCUAGAGAACUUCGCUAAAAGUUCCUCUGUAGGAAAUGUUUCCAUGGGUUUUCUUCUUACUACGAGGAUAGAUAAGUAAGUCAUUACAUGGAGAAAUGACAAACUGAUCCAAGUAAGAAAGACGUACACUACUCGUUUAGCUCAUGAAAAUUAUGGGUGUAUUGGUCCUAUCCGAAGGGUAUCACUACGGACUUGAAGUGUCCGCAUCGAAUUCAGGAGAUAGUCUUCCGGACAUCCUUCCCUAACACUCGAACUGGUGAUAUUCAGAUCUCGGAUCCAUUUCUGAAAGUAAUUUUUUCCUUGCGUUUGCUCAACCAUUUCAUCUAUGCGAGGCAGAGAUAACGAUUUCUAAUGAAAAAUCUUGACAGAGUCCUCGAUAUCCGAGGCACAUACGAUGCAAUCCGUCGAUCUCUGGGAGAAUAAGACUGGGGGUCUCUAGGGUGAGAAGCUUAGUCUUCUAAUUCUAUUUCUGUGUGGUUCGCUAAGUUGCAUGUACUGUUCUGGUAUUUCCGUAGGUGUUUAGACUAUAGGGCGAUUUGUGUACAAGAGUCGUACUGGGUUCUAAGUUUGUUCACAUGACGAUGAGAUUACUCGUAGGCUUAGGCAGUUCUCCGUCCUAAAGUUCAUAUUAGAAUUCAUACAUGUUUUCACAAUCACAAUCUCGUGUAUACGAGUUGUAUGUAAUUAAGAUUGAAAAGGUAGUCGGAUAACUGAUUCUUCUUUAAGCUCACAUCCCAACGGGGAAAAAGAAGUUAAAGUGGAAUCAUCAAUUCUAAACCUGUAGAACCUUGAUUAUAUAUCACUCUUAUGUAUACAUUCCUCAGUGAUAGAUCAAUCGUAUGAAUCCUUGGAUUGAACUUGACGUACUGCACGAGUGGUACUUCGGGGAUUUCUUCGGAAAGAAAAUAUCUAAGAGGUACUCCUGGCAUGAGUACUUCGGUGUUUUGAUGUGACGGCUUCACUGGAAAAGCGAUCUAGAAGAAAGAGAUGUACAUAUGAAGUUGUUUUUGUGAGGAUCAAAUUGAAUCGAGUCGUAUGAUAAUGUCGGAAUCAUACUGAAACUUAAAGACAUUAGAUUUGAACAUAAGACGUUUACAGACAAAACACAACCGUGCAACCAUGAACAGAGUUACAGUACUUUAGAUUUACCACAAGACUAUUGCUGCGAAUAAGAUAUACUACAAAAGACAAGUAUAUGCAGCACGAGCAUCCCUAUAAAGACAGGAUCUCGCAAAAGUUAAGACCCUAGUUGCACUAGUUCUGGAUAGUUUAUAAGUCGGUUACUACGAAACGCCUUGAUUACAUUAACGAGGGUUCCGGAGUAGGUUCCCCUGCAACUGUGAUCCUAAGAAUCUUCCCAUCUGCACCCGAGUUCUUCGCUAUCGGGCAAUCCCUUUUGAGUGUCCAAUUUCACCGCAUUGGUGACAUAUAUGGAGAACACCCACAUUGGUGGUGGAAGUGAAGUGUUUAGUAGGAGUUAUAGGGACGCGGGUUCUUUUCUUUUUCGGGCAAUCUCUUUUAUAGUGCCCAAACUCACCACAAUUAUAGCAAACUAGGCUUGCCCCAAUGGUGGAGGUAGUUCUACAGAAAUGAGCAAUGUGCCCCAUCUUGUUGCAAUUAUCGCACUGCAAGGCUCGGCACAUUCCCUCGUGGUGGUAGUUGCACCGGUCGCACUUCGGGAGUGUUCCUUUGUAUGGUCUGCUCGGUACGGGGAUGGCAGAGGUUUCCACUUACUGUUGUUGCAUGGCAAGUUUUCGGGGUUUCUUGCGUUCUUUCUGGGCUUGGCGCUUCUGUUUCUUGUUCUUUGAUUUUCGGCGUUGCAGGCCUGUGGCCGUUACCGUUUGAUGACUUCCUGGAUGGAUACCACGAUUGGAAACUUCAUUCCCAUCAACAGCAUUGAUUGUGCUGAUAGUGCUACGGUGCGCAAGGACAGCUGUCACGGCAGCUGUAACUGCUGUUUGGAAGGUAGCGGCGUCCAUAGUAAAGGCGGAGGUCUCGCUAUUCGACUAUUUGUUUCCGGGUGACGACAUGAUUUUGUAACACAAAAGAUAAGGAUUUUGUGAGCGAUUCUAGUUGACCCUUGAUGUACUUAGAUUGUUCAUGUAAAAGAGUACGACUAUGUUCUCACAAGUUUGACCUACAUCCCUAUGACGCAGUCCUAGCACGGAUUGGAAGUAUGUUCACGGAGGUUUGACCUACAUCCCUAUGAUGCAGUCCUAAUAAUGAGUAGAAGUAAGUUCGUAGAAUGGUCUUAAGACGUUUGUCGUUCAAGCCGAGGUAUCGUAGGUUGGUGAAUAACAAGAUCCAACCACUGAAAGAGACUUGGAAUUGUCUCCGGAGCUAAAUUACUAUAGUCUAAUGACUUGACUAAAUCAUGAUACAGAUAGACUCCAAUGAAAGUAUGAUAAGAGUACUUGAAUAAAAAAUGACACAGAAGUUAGCCGACUGUCAAUAUCUUUGAUAUUCAUGACGAAAAAGUUCGGGAAAAUGACCUUGUAAAGGUCUUACAUCAUAUGCGGAGAAGAUAGUUCUUGACAGCAUAACGACCUAACCAAAAGUACUUACAGUACAAGGUAAUUUCAUAGAAAAUGCCACAUCGGGGAUAGGUAGAAAAACGAUUCCUGUUAACAAGGAAAAAUAAAGUAAAGUGUCUACUACCGACGACGGUCAUCCCUCUGGUGAACUCCCAGUUCAGCCAGUUGACGUUCCACAUCAAGUAGGUGUAUUUCGUAUACCUUCUGGCGUACUCGGAGCUCUAUGACUUCGGCUUGUGAUUCAGUCAGUGCUUGCAGCAGGGUUUCGUGGUUUCUCUCAGAUCUCCCGCGAGCAUCUUCUACACGAAUGGUGCGGAGGGUAUGCAUUCUUGCAUUGGCGACAACUUCAGUGAUCUGAUGUAGGGCUGUCCUGCCUUGAAUCUCAUUUUGGGCCACUUUGCGGACCAAGGUUGGCAAGAUUUUAUCUGUUGGGCCCCCAUUGCUCAGCUCGUAAAAGCUUCGGUCGCCAUUAAAUGGCAUGGGCUGAUCUUGUCCUUGGUUCCAUGUUUCAAAACAUUCCACCCACUCAGGCGUCGGGCCAUGAAAAGUCGGACGAGGGUUAGGAAUUGGAAAGGGAGCUGCUCGGGGUAGGUUCUCAACCUCUUGUUCUGAGUUAGCAUUGUCCGAAAGGUCUUCAUCACGGUGAUCAUUCAAAGGGAUAGGAUGAUCAUUCUCUGGUUCUUCUCCAAACCAUCCAGCAAUGACCUCAUUCGGGAGGUACCGGUUGCCGUGGGAAUGGAGUCCAGCUAUGUUUUCUAUGCGAGAAUUUAGGGUAAGAGAAUAAUUAUUAGACGAACUAUCUAGAUAAUUAUUUAGAAAAUCUUCAUUAGUUACAUCGUUAUUUGUGAAGUGCAUACCAGCUAUGUGUAAUCUAAACAGGAUAGACCUUCGAAUAAGUGACAUUAACUCCGUAUUCACACAGAAUAGGGGUAAAGUAAAAUUUCCACAGAUUCUAAGUCUAUAACAUGCUAAUUACAUAUAGCUUUAGUGUAUCCACUUAGCAAAUAUCAACUUAGUAAUGAAGACCCCGUUUUAGUUCUCAAGUAUAAAGUAUUUAUAGUAACACCAAAUACUCCUAUAGUAUUUUAAAUUUUAAUGUUAUGUUCUAUUGUUCUCAUUGUGGUAGGGUUAGUAAGAUUUUAGCAUUGUUGCAACCACACAAUUAAACUUAGGCACAUGCUAGUCAACCCUCGGAUAAUAUAGGUGAUCAGGCUAUAUCUUCCCAGUUUUGACCAUAUGUCUCUAAGCCCACUUGUGUUGCCCAACAAUCGUAAUUCUUUUGUACUGUCCUAGUGACACUGAUUUUAGUAUGAAUGCAGCACGUAUACUUACUUAAAUAUUUUAUUAUUUAAAGUAUAAACUCUUGGUCAGAGUAUUUUUAAUCCCUUAUGUAUUUAUAGUUAGUAUAUCUUUUAUGGGUUGAUAUACUUAAUUAUAAACAAUGCUCUGAUGCCAAUCCGUCACACCCCAAAACCAUUGAACGGCGGAAACGUUCUAGGGCGGAGGACUUCACGUAAAGUAUCACAACAAUGAAAAGUAGUAAACAAGCAACAACAUCAUCCAUUGCAUUAAUAAUAUAAUUUUAAUACAAGUGUAUUCUGAUAGGUAUAAUAGACACUAAUGAAUAAAUCAAAAUAAAAGACGAGACUUGAACGAGCUCCAUCUUCCUUAAUCCUUGCAUUGGUACCUGUCUAUGAUGACUAGAGGAUACAAGUAAUUUUGAAAGCGAGUAUCAGCUUUGAAGCUGGUGAGAUCAUAAGUAUUUUAGUGUCUUAAUUUGUAUGAAAAUACUUGUAUGAAUUUGAAAUGUAAGUAUUUGUAUGUAUACGAAUUGUAAGUAUUGAAAAUGUAAAUGAACUGUAGGUAUGAAAAUGUUUCGAAAACAACUGCAAACGUUUGAAAAACCCUAGAAAUCCCUAUGAUUCCUAUUAGUAACAAAAGGAGUCUUCUACCAAGACUUAACUGUUCUCAAGGUAGUCUUCUACCAAGACCUAACUGCUCUGAAUGUAGCCUUCUACCAAGGCAUCUAAUGUCUGUGCGUGUGUCUCUUGUAAGGGUAUGUAUUUUCCCAGGUAUGACUAUCAUUAACCAAAAAUAUAGUUUCUACAUUUUCGUGCGUCGUGUGAAUGUUCACGAAGUGAAUGUAAAUGGGAAAACGAAAUAGUACUAUGGUGUAGUGUCGAACUACAACCGUACCAAUUUCCUUAAGUCUAGGGUAAUCGUGUAAGUACUGUAGUAUUUGUAAUAAAUAACUACAUCGGUACUCCGCUGCCUUAUUUGAGGGAUAAGGUAUAAUGUGAUGUCUAGAUCCCAGGCUGUACGCUCCCCUAUCAAAGGGAUUUUGGGACCUACCCACGACCCCUGCAUAUCUGCAAGCCGUGAGCAUC